AUUGAACGCUGGCGGCAGGCCUAACACAUGCAAGUCGAACGGUAACAGGAAGCAGCUUGCUGCUUCGCUGACGAGUGGCGGACGGGUGAGUAAUGUCUGGGAAACUGCCCGAUGGAGGGGGAUAACUACUGGAAACGGUAGCUAAUACCGCAUAAUGUCGCAAGACCAAAGAGGGGGACCUUCGGGCCUCUUGCCAUCGGAUGUGCCCAGAUGGGAUUAGCUUGUUGGUGAGGUAACGGCUCACCAAGGCGACGAUCCCUAGCUGGUCUGAGAGGAUGACCAGCCACACUGGAACUGAGACACGGUCCAGACUCCUACGGGAGGCAGCAGUGGGGAAUAUUGCACAAUGGGCGCAAGCCUGAUGCAGCCAUGCCGCGUGUAUGAAGAAGGCCUUCGGGUUGUAAAGUACUUUCAGCGGGGAGGAAGGGGUUAAGGUUAAUAACCUUAGCCAUUGACGUUACCCGCAGAAGAAGCACCGGCUAACUCCGUGCCAGCCGCCGCAGUAA
This 506-nucleotide ribosomal RNA is filed under the name uncultured bacterium. RNAcentral describes it as "partial 16S ribosomal RNA". It matches the Rfam family "Bacterial small subunit ribosomal RNA", at positions 30 to 523 of the family's 1533-position model. The record is from RNAcentral.